Long non-coding RNA from Pseudopipra pipra, 3145 nucleotides. RefSeq lists it as uncharacterized. The transcript has 5 exons. The record is from RefSeq and is a predicted model, not a curated record. NCBI's taxonomy places the organism in Eukaryota, Metazoa, Chordata, Aves, Passeriformes, Pipridae.
GGGAGCUGGACUGCAGUGAUUAUUCCUCCACCAUGGGCAGAUUUUUUCCUCCGCAGCAAUAAUCCCCCUCCCUGGCACUGCAGGACGUGGAGGAAGGAGUAGCAAAGGUGUGGAAUAUGUGCUGGACCAGCUUUUCUCUUGCUGCCUCAGAAUAAUGAUGCUCUGGUGGCUCUUGAGGGCCGGUCACACAGGAAGAACGAGCCAUGGGCUGCAGUCCUUCGGGCUUCCAGCUACCUCCACCCUAAGCCAGACCAGCCCCGUGGGGCCACGAGAAAUAGUUUAAAGAGGGUCAAAUUAUCAACAGGAUAAAAAUGUACCAUCACUGCUUCAUGACGAGAAAAAGCAGGAAGGGCUCACUGAAGAGAACUACUUAUACCCCAGGAGUUUCUGCUGAGAAUAGAGUUGUGUAAAUUGGAUUACCAGGGAUACAGCACUAUAAGAACAAAAACUCCACGGAUGAGGACGGACUUCCCUGACUUUUGUUCUGAACACCAUGGACCUUCACCCUUUGGAAAUGGAAAGGGAAUCCCAGGAAAACUUGGCACCAGCCCACGGGAAAAAGCAAAGCAGCCAAGGAAAGAGGUCCUGGCUCUGCACAGCACCACGGCCAGCCAGGGAGGAAUGAACGUGCUCUCAGAGCACCGAGGAAGCGCUGGUGGGGAAGUGUGAGCAAAGGCAGAGGGUCUGGGCAUGAAGCAGCGUUCACCAGGCUCUGCUCUUUAAGUCAUUUCCAGGCUCGUGUCAGUCAGCACAGAAGUGUCCAAAGUGGCUACAAAUGUCAGUGAGCAGGGUGAAAACAGUCCUGAAGUCUGGAGAAAUACAGCCCAAAGGUGAACAUCCUGCAGCCAUGUUUUCUGCAACAUGCAGAACUGGAGCACCACCUGCUAUUUAUCCAGCUCUGAAUGUAAGCAAAACCUUCACUGUGUCUGAACUUCUCAUUAAACAUUUGCACCACAAAUAACAAUACAAAAAAGCCCCAACAUCGAGGCUUCCUUGUUUCAUUUCUGAGCUGGAAGUUCUAAAUUCUCUUUGAAUCAGUCUUAAACUGGGAUGAAAAGAAAAAAGAAAAAGAACAUCACGAGAUCAUCAAGGCUGAGGAGCUGAAGAGUCAAGCAAUGAAAAGUUCAAGUGCCAGAACUGAGCUGCCCAGCUGCAAUUCCUCUGUCCCCCCUGUGCCUUUGCAGUGUGAGACGGAUUUCAAAUUACAGGAUUACAUGUGCUAGAGCAAGAUUAACCUUCCUUCACCAUGAGGUUAUUAUGCACCACAGGAAAGGGAAAGGACAGUCCAAACCUUUCAGGAACUGGGAGCAUCUUCUCACUCACGGAGAAGCUACGAGGCUGAAAAUGGAUGUUUAUCCUUGGAAAGACAUUUAACCUGUGCAGGAUCUUCUGGAUGUAACAUUAAUCUAUAUCCACUUAUACCAUGUCAUAGGAAGGCUUGCCUCAAUCCCUGUCUAGAAAAGGUCUCCUCCUACUCCUUUGGAGUCUUUGCUUCCACAGAAGUUCUACAAACACACAUUUACAGAACUGACUCACGUGCUUUUAACUCUUUUGUCACCAGUGGAAAACAACUGAAGUGCUACAAAAGAAACACGAAGAAAUCUGAGUUCCCAGCAGUGCUGCCAUCCAAGAACCAGCAGAGGAGCUGUGCCCCCUGGUCCUUGUGCCUUCUGCUUCGGCCACAGGUUCUCCUCCCCCUGCCCAGCUGAGAAAGUCUGGCCACGUCUGUGUUCUGUUCGGGACUUUCUGUAUCACCUGAUGCCUUCUUUUGUCCAGCAAAUCCCGAGGAACUGGCUGAGCAAACACAAAGAGCCCCCCUGCCAAGGCUCUGCUUUGUUCCAGCGGAAGGCUGGUGUUCCUGAGGAUUUUCCUGGGAGUGGUUCCCCUGCCCGAACGCUCCAAGGCCGCACAGGAUUUCUCCCAGGGGAAAACCAACAGCUUCCCAGCAGUGGUGCCACAGGCUGUGUCCUGGGGGCCUCCCAGCCUUCGUGGCCCAGGGAAGGAAAGCCUGGCCUUGCACAGACACCUGAGCCAAGCACACAGGCCGCUGUUUGCAGCAGGGCUGGCAGGGCAGACAUUGCCCUGGGAUUGCUGCAGGCUCACAGCCAGAGGCUCCCUGCAGGGAAAGAGCAGUUGGCUCUCCUGGCACUGAAACAUCAGGGAAGGAUCUUGCUCAUGUCCAGCCCUAGGAAUGGAGCUGAUGCUUUACUUCAUCCCUCACAAACCUUCCUUACAGUUUUUUCUCACAACAAGCUCUCAAUGCCUACUUUUCUUCUUCUGAUUUCAUCUAAUGUCUCCAGUACUUCCAACUUUGACUCUUUUCUCGUUUGCAGCUCUGGCACUUUACCCCUAAACCCCUGAGAGCUCCUGGCAGAGCUCCCUCAUGCCCACCCAGAGCAGCAGGGUUUGGUCAGAGUUCCAGGAGCAGCACAGGAGCUCAGAGCAAAGCAUCUGGACCCUCCAGUACAUGCAUGGAUACACUGGAGGCCUCAUGUCUUCAUUCUGAGCACCUCAGCCCACGUGAAUUUGUGAUCCUGAAGCUGAAACAGCGAGAGGCACAGCAGGACAUCAGCUCUGCCAGUGAACUCACUGCUAUCAAAUGCUCCAGAAGACAACCUGGCCGACCUCUGCACUCACAGACAGGGCACCCCCAGUCCUCUGAGGGGGAAGGGGUGUCCAACAACUUCGUCAUCAUGGAACACAGGCAACUGAUAGGGUUUGAUUCCUUAUUCUCAUUCAGACAAUAAGUUCAAACAACUCCAAAUGCAACCUCCUGGCUGUCUCCUCAUGAGCUUCACCCAUUUCUUCUACACAGAGAUGAGUCUGGCCACAGAGUUUGAAUAUGAAAGCUCAUCUCCAUCCCACAAAUUGCCAGCAUGUUUUUAGCCCAAGGCUAAAGCAAACACCUGUGUUCAGAUGCUCAGUCCCUGCAUUCAGGGAUGAGAAGGGCUGGCCCAGCCCCACAGAACCCCCAUCCCCUGGCAGACACAUUGGCACGGCCCCAAAAGCAUCCAAAGGCACCGCUGAGCGUGCAGAGACACGGAGCACCUUCCCAAGGCUCCAAACAGGGCUUUCACAUUUCUCUCUCCCCCCUCCAUUGUCUACCUUUUUAAAAACAGUUGUAUUAAAAGGGAAACACACCAAA